Melanotaenia boesemani (Boeseman's rainbowfish) is the source of this 1200-nucleotide long non-coding RNA. RefSeq lists it as uncharacterized. The transcript has 6 exons. The record is from RefSeq and is a predicted model, not a curated record. NCBI's taxonomy places the organism in Eukaryota, Metazoa, Chordata, Actinopteri, Atheriniformes, Melanotaeniidae.
UUUUGAAAGGGUUGUAGCUCAAACGGUUUAAAGUGUAUUUCACGGAGCUAAAAUGCGUCAUAAGACACAAUAAAAAGCACAGAACCAGCCUUAGCACCAGUCGAAACAGGCAUCAAGAAAGCCGUGCACGUGCAGCAGAUGAGACUUUGUGGAAAAAUGAGUGGAGCAGUGAGACGUGGUUCUCCAGUGGAAGUCAUGGAUCAGCAGGAGCAGCCAUCUUAAAAGCUCCAUUUAAAGGGAUCAGCAUGAAUAAAGCCUUUCAUGAAGCGGAGCAUGGCUGAAUUUCUCCCGUGUGUAACACAUGGAGUUCAAAGCUUCACACACCUGGAAACAGCAGCAGGGUUAUGUCACUGCUGCAGGUUUGUGAUGAAGUGGAGCGAAAACAUCCAGCUUUGGGAAAGAAGUGACAAAGAUUUGACUGCGUCUGCAAAAAGUGCUUCACCUGCAUCCAGAGAAAUCUCUGCCAUACCAGCUGUACCUGGAGGCCAGAGAGGAGGCUCUCGUUGAAGAGUUACCAGGAGUUAACAGGUAUUGACUCUUUAUAUUUCUCCCAUACGUCUAUAAGGAGAACAUGAACCUUUUUAUCCCUCUUGGAGACUCUGAUGCAGACAUGUGGUGUUUAACUGAACCAAACACACACAACAAACGUGACCUUCCAUCUCCACACACAACUAUUCUCCUGACUGGUCAAGACUGGAAAAUGUCCUUCUUCACCAAAAGAGCUCCAAACGUUGUGAAAGCAGACGAUGUUGAGGAAGGGAUCAUCUCUGCCUUCUGCACUGACUUUGUCUUCAAGCUGGCAAACCCGAGACACCUGAAGACACACUGACGUUCCUCCAGAGGUGCAUGGUGGUGACCAACCUCUGCCAAGAACUGUUAACAGGACCAUAAAUCUUCUUUAUUCACUCCAUUAUGCCGCAUACCUAGCAGUGCUUCUAAUGCUCCAGGAGAGAAUCUACCUUAAAUUAAUUCAGCACAAAGGACUUUAUAGAAUUUAUUAUUAUUGUUUUAUGGUAUAAAGUUAGAGGAAGAAAAACUGUAGAACAGAUGAUGAUGUUUGUUGUGAUUUCAUCUUUCAUUCUGUUGCAUGUUUGUGUGUGAAUGACGCCUAACAAAGCUUCUUUAUUUUCAUCACUGGCUGAAAUAAAUUAAACUAAUGACAAUAAAACCACCAAUAGAUGGAGGCCUGAGAAACGUAGG